AACGAUGAACCGGUGCUUGCACCGGGGAUUAGUGGCGAACGGGUGAGUAACACGUGAGUAACCUGCCCUGGACUCUGGGAUAACCCCGAGAAAUCGGAGCUAAUACCGGAUAGGACCUGGAACCGCAUGGUUUUGGGUGGAAAGUUUUUCGGUCUGGGAUGGACUCGCGGCCUAUCAGCUUGUUGGUGAGGUAAUGGCUCACCAAGGCGUCGACGGGUAGCCGGCCUGAGAGGGUGACCGGCCACACUGGGACUGAGACACGGCCCAGACUCCUACGGGAGGCAGCAGUGGGGAAUAUUGCACAAUGGGCGCAAGCCUGAUGCAGCAACGCCGCGUGAGGGAUGACGGCCUUCGGGUUGUAAACCUCUUUUAGUAGGGAAGAAGGGCUUCGGCUUGACGGUACCUGCAGAAAAAGCACCGGCUAACUACGUGCCAGCAGCCGCGGUAAUACGUAGGGUGCGAGCGUUGUCCGGAAUUAUUGGGCGUAAAGAGCUCGUAGGCGGUUUGUCACGUCUGCUGUGAAAUCCCGAGGCUCAACCUCGGGCCUGCAGUGGGUACGGGC
RNAcentral lists this ribosomal RNA (562 nucleotides) under Agromyces sp. SC19T. RNAcentral describes it as "bacterial SSU rRNA". It matches the Rfam family "Bacterial small subunit ribosomal RNA", at positions 65 to 637 of the family's 1533-position model. Lineage: Bacteria; Bacillati; Actinomycetota; Actinomycetes; Micrococcales; Microbacteriaceae. The record is from RNAcentral.